This 474-nucleotide unclassified non-coding RNA is filed under the name Hevea brasiliensis (rubber tree). Lineage: Eukaryota; Viridiplantae; Streptophyta; Magnoliopsida; Malpighiales; Euphorbiaceae. The record is from RNAcentral.
GUAAGCAAGUUCAUUCCAUUAUAGAAGCCCUAGUAAAAUCUGAAAAGCGUGAAAAUGCCCAUGGUAGGAGCAAGGUUCCUUCCAUCCAAACAAAGGGGGGAUUGAAAGACCAUAGUGAAAGAAACAAAGACCAGGAAAAUAUAGAUGGUCCAGGAGUGAGCAGAUUCAACCCUGCUCUUGAAGAUCUGCCAGGAAGCAGGUGUAGAAAUGGUUACCUAACAUCACUGAAUAAAUCAAUCUCUUUGAACUCAGUGUUUACAGGAGGAGAUGGAGGUGCAUGCAUGGUUGACACCAGGGUUACUGGAAAGAUGGUUUAUCAUCCAAACCCUAAUAUAGGCACUGAGAAUGAUGCACUUGCACUGAAAUUGUCAUCAUCCACAACCAUUGCAUCAGAUAAUACGAGCUCAUUAUCUAAUGAGGAAUCAGCAAACCUAGCAAGUGUUAAUUCACUUUCUAUCAAAGCUGCUAGUGUAG